AUUGAACGCUGGCGGCAGGCCUAACACCUGCAAGUCGAGCGGAGCGGCGGACGGGUGAGUAAUGUAUGGGGAUCUGCCCGAUAGAGGGGGAUAACUAUUGGAAACGAUAGCUAAUACCGCAUACUAGUAGAUGGACCUGCGUUGUAUUAGCUAGUAGGUAGGGUAAUGGCCUACCUAGGCAACGAUACAUAGCCGACCUGAGAGGGUGAUCAGUCACACUGGAACUGAGACACGGUCCAGACUCCUACGGGAGGCAGCAGUGGGGAAUAUUGGACAAUGGGCGAAAGCCUGAUCCAGCCAUGCCGCGUGUGUGAAGAAGGUCUUCGGAUUGUAAAGCACUUUAAGUUGGGAGGCGUUACCAACAGAAUAAGCACCGGCUAACUUCGUGCCAGCAGCCGCGGUAAUAC
RNAcentral lists this ribosomal RNA (407 nucleotides) under uncultured bacterium. RNAcentral describes it as "partial 16S ribosomal RNA". It matches the Rfam family "Bacterial small subunit ribosomal RNA", at positions 30 to 526 of the family's 1533-position model. The record is from RNAcentral.